AGGAGAGUUGGGGCCUUCCAUUCCCUCCAGUAAAUACUUGUUUUUCUUCCACCGCUGAGGCAAAUGCGGGGUGGCUGAUCACCUGGCAGACAUCUUAGGAAACAGGAGCACCGGUCUGGGAAACUGCUGGCCUGGCCUAACACCUGGCGCUGUGGUGCAGGCAAGUGAGUGGUGACACAGUGCUGGCUGGUGGGGGGCAGCUUCCCUCCUGGCCUCAGUGGCCCAUCUGUUCAAUGGGAGUGGGACUUGGUCUCCAAAGUCUUCUACUCUGAAACUUGAUUUUGGGAGGGAAACGUUUGGGGGGAGGUAGAGGGGCCUGAGAUGAGAGAGGUGGGUGGGACACUCGGUUGUGAGGGGUUUGGUAGUGGGGCGCUCCAGGUCUCUGCAGCCACUCCUCUUCUGGCAGCCCCAACACCCCCCAGGCGUUUGACUUCUGGUUCCAGCCAAGGCAGUGUGGGUCACAUGCUCCAAGGCUAGCUUUCACAGAAACUGCAAAGUUCCCGCUGUACCAGCCCCACCUUGCGUCGUCAGCCACCAAGACCUCUUUCUCAUCUGGGUACUGGGCAGCUCCUCUGGCUGGGAUGACCAUGUGUGGAGCUAGCCGUCUCACCAGCAAAAUAUCCUGGUUUUGGCCUAAGGGUAUGCAGCUCUUUCAGAUGAGAAUCUAGUGGAUCCCACCGUGUAGAGGAAAGGUCUGAACACCGCCAGGUGCUGGUGAGGAUGAAAGCGAGCAGGGGCUGGGGGAGCUUCCGACGGCUUUAUUCCUCGACUGGAGAAGAGUAUGGUAAACAGGCAGGCAGAGGCCAAGGCGGGCACAUUUCACUCCUCUGGAAGGAAGAGGCCUCCCCUGGGCCACUGUGCGCUGUCUCUGUCCAUCAGACCAGUGAGGAGGAAGAGGGCUUGGGGACUGGAGUCAGCCCUGACCUUGUGUCGCGUCCCUUCCACACACCGCUGUGGUACCUUGGGCAAGAGGGCAGCCACUGAGGAUUCUUGAGGAGAGAGAGACCAUAGAAUGAAUGAAAGAGUUGGAAAGACUUUAAAGCUCUGGGAGGCUGAAUCCUUUAUUUCGCUGGAAGAAAAACUGAAUGCCAAGAGGGCCUCACUUUCCCCAAAGCUAUACAGCCAUCAGGGGCAAUGCUGGGAUUCCCCCAUGGAUCUCUUGACUCCUAAUACAGUGCUCUUUCUGAUAUGCCAUCUGGCUCCAUAAUGAACAUUGUGUUCCAGGAAAAUCAGUCUGCGCUGAACAGGAUGGAAUUGGGGCAGGACGUCCAGUGAGGAGGACAUUGAGGCAGUAGAGCAGUUGAUUGCCGAAUGACCACCUACCCUGACUUAAAAGAUCAACCUCAGGGAGGAUUGGAGCUUUCUAGAGUCUCUUGGGACAGCAGAAGCACAGGCCGGGUUGGACUGAAUCUUUAAGUGGACAUGAGGGACAAAGUACCUCCUGUUGGUAAACAUCUCACCACCAACCCACUGUGGUGGCUAAAAUCCCACCUUUAGUCCCAGCAACAUAUGAGCAUGUCACCAGGAGGUCUUCACAGGCCUGUCUGCCACCUGAGUGUAGACAUCUUUUGGCCCUGGAGCCCAGAGAGGCUGAAUGUGGAGAGGGUGGAGAGAGGUCUGUAGUCCUCAGAGAAGACUUGCAGCUUUUUCAGAGCCACCAACCCAUAAAAAAAAAAAUCCCCAAACAGAAAAAUCCUAACUGUGGUGACCAGGUACCUCCUGAGACAUGAAGCCUCCACUUACCUGGACCCUGGAGGCCUCUCCGGGCACAGCUGCCAAUGUUGAUCUUAGAUAAGACCACCAGCAAGUAAACAUCCACUGUGCAAAGCUGUGUUAUCUUUGGGGAACUGAAAUGUCCCCUGGGAGUUGGAAACUCCCCUAGCCACAUACCACAGAGUUGAGGAAGGAAGAGCUGAUGGACGGAAGAACCAUGGCGGGAGGAGUCAUCCGGAAGCUACCUCGCUGCCCUGUCAGUUACGGAACAGAGGAGAGAUGCCGGCUGGAGGACACAGCAAAUUUGAACCAAGAGGAGCUUGGAGGAAGCCCGAGCGACCUGGAGGGGACUGGCUGACCUUCCUCAUUCUUUUCAAGUGUGAAUAAUAACCAAGCCCAGUUUGGCAACUCCUUGAGGGUGAGGACGAAGCCCCAUUCUCCUUUUUGGAACUUGGUGGGGCUCAGGAAGCAGGUUCUCUCCAGUCGGUGGCUUUCCUUUCUGUUGCGGGUCUCUUGAGGGCCUGCCUUCAUGAAGGCACAUGAGUGACUCAUCAUUUGUGAAUUAAUUGCUAUAUGUGAAGGGCAUCUGAGAACAAAUUAUCUUCAUAGACUUUUCAUUAUAAUUUUAUUUGUACUGAUAAUUAGUUGGUUUAGCAAGCUCUUUUUUCAUAGAUUUGGCUAAACUUCAGUCUGAAAGAGGCAAAUUCUGGGGUUCUAGAAAGAGAUUUUAUUCUUUGAUAUAGGGCUAUUUGGUGGGGUUGCUUUUUGUCCUAGUUGUAGCUUUUAUAAUUUCGAGAUUCACAUUUUGCAAUAGAAAUAUACAGGCAUACCUUGGAGGCAUUACAGCUUUGGUCCCAGACCACAAUGAAGCAAGUCACACGAAUUUUGUUGGUUUCCCAGUAAAUAUAAAACGUAUGCUGAUACCAUACUAUAGUCUAAGUGUGCAACAGCAUAUGUCUAAAUGAAUAUACAUAUAUAUUUUUUUGAGACAGGUUCUUGCUCUGUCACCCAGGCUGGAGUGCAGUGGCACUAUCAUGGCUCA
Molecule: long non-coding RNA, 2755 nt
Filed under: Homo sapiens (human)
Lineage: Eukaryota; Metazoa; Chordata; Mammalia; Primates; Hominidae
Description: HSALNT0310344
Source: RNAcentral